CCCUUAGAUGUUCUGGGCCGCACGCGCGCUACACUGAUGCAUUCAACGAGUCUAAAACCUGCUCUGAUAGGGGUGGGUAAUCUUUUGAAUGUGCAUCGUGAUUGGGAUAGAUGAUUGCAAUUUUUCAUCUUCAACGAGGAAUGCCUAGUAAACGCAAGUCAUCAGCUUGCAUUGAUUACGUCCCUGCCCUUUGUACACACCGCCCGUCGCUCCUACCGAUUGAACGAUCCGGUGAAUUAUUUGGAGUAGCUCUGGAAGUUGCAGAACUUCCUAUGUCACGAAAUUUUGUAAACCUUAUCGUUUAGAGGAAGGAAAAGUCGUAACA
This 325-nucleotide ribosomal RNA is filed under the name uncultured eukaryote. Its description in RNAcentral is "partial 18S ribosomal RNA". It matches the Rfam family "Eukaryotic small subunit ribosomal RNA", at positions 1470 to 1796 of the family's 1831-position model. The record is from RNAcentral.